Non-coding RNA from Pantoea sp., 198 nucleotides. The record is from Rfam. NCBI's taxonomy places the organism in Bacteria, Pseudomonadati, Pseudomonadota, Gammaproteobacteria, Enterobacterales, Erwiniaceae.
GUAGAUGCUCAUUCCACCUCUUAUGUCUGCUGAUGCUGCAUAAACCUGGGAAUGACGCAGAGCCACUUUUGGGUACCCGUUGUCUGCCUGCCUGUAUCGCUCUCGCCUUACAGGAUCAACAGACAUACCGUUGAGUCGGGUACCUCAGGGUUGUCUUACCGACCUGAUCUUACACCUGCUUCUGGCAGGUGUUUUUUU